Molecule: ribosomal RNA, 745 nt
Filed under: uncultured Lactobacillus sp.
Lineage: Bacteria; Bacillati; Bacillota; Bacilli; Lactobacillales; Lactobacillaceae
Description: bacterial SSU rRNA
Rfam family: Bacterial small subunit ribosomal RNA
Source: RNAcentral
AAAGCAUGGGUAGCGAACAGGAUUAGAUACCCUGGUAGUCCAUGCCGUAAACGAUGAGUGCUAAGUGUUGGAGGGUUUCCCCCUUCGGUGCUGCAGCUAACGCAUUAAGCACUCCGCCUGGGGAGUACGACCGCAAGGUUGAAACUCAAAGGAAUUGACGGGGGCCCGCACAAGCGGUGGAGCAUGUGGUUUAAUUCGAAGCUACGCGAAGAACCUUACCAGGUCUUGACAUCUUCUGCCAAUCUUAGAGAUAAGACGUUCCCUUCGGGGACAGAAUGACAGGUGGUGCAUGGUUGUCGUCAGCUCGUGUCGUGAGAUGUUGGGUUAAGUCCCGCAACGAGCGCAACCCUUAUUAUCAGUUGCCAGCAUUCAGUUGGGCACUCUGGUGAGACUGCCGGUGACAAACCGGAGGAAGGUGGGGAUGACGUCAAAUCAUCAUGCCCCUUAUGACCUGGGCUACACACGUGCUACAAUGGACGGUACAACGAGUCGCGAAGUCGUGAGGCUAAGCUAAUCUCUUAAAGCCGUUCUCAGUUCGGAUUGUAGGCUGCAACUCGCCUACAUGAAGUUGGAAUCGCUAGUAAUCGCGGAUCAGCAUGCCGCGGUGAAUACGUUCCCGGGCCUUGUACACACCGCCCGUCACACCAUGAGAGUUUGUAACACCCAAAGCCGGUGAGAUAACCUUCGGGAGUCAGCCGUCUAAGGUGGGACAGAUGAUUAGGGUGAAGUCGUAACAAGGUAACCA